This 731-nucleotide ribosomal RNA is filed under the name uncultured Acidobacteriota bacterium. Its description in RNAcentral is "bacterial SSU rRNA". It matches the Rfam family "Bacterial small subunit ribosomal RNA", at positions 97 to 842 of the family's 1533-position model. The record is from RNAcentral. Lineage: Bacteria; Pseudomonadati; Acidobacteriota.
GGCGCACGGGUGAGUAACACGUGGACAACCUGCCUUCGAGUGGGGAAUAACCUUCCGAAAGGAGGGCUAAUACCGCAUAACACCUCGGGACACAAGUUCUGGGGUUGAAAAGAGCAAUUUGCUCGAAGAGGGGUCCGCGCCUGAUUAGCUAGUUGGUGGGGUAACGGCUCACCAAGGCUUCGAUCAGUAGCCGUCCUGAGAGGGAGCACGGCCACACUGGAACUGAGACACGGUCCAGACUCCUACGGGAGGCAGCAGUGGGGAAUUUUUGGCAAUGGGCGCAAGCCUGACCAAGCAACGCCGCGUGGGUGAUGAAGUAUCUUGGUACGUAAAACCCUUUCGGCAGGGACGAACCUAAUGACGGUACCUGCGGAAGAAGCCCCGGCUAACUCCGUGCCAGCAGCCGCGGUAAUACGGGGGGGGCAAGCGUUGUUCGGAAUUACUGGGCGUAAAGGGCGCGUAGGCGGUUGGAUAAGUCAGCUGUGAAAACCACGGGCUUAACUCGUGGCCUGCAGUUGAGACUGUCUGGCUUGAGUGUGGGAGAGGAGAGUGGAAUUCCUGGUGUAGCGGUGAAAUGCGUAGAUAUCAGGAGGAACACCGGUGGCGAAGGCGGCUCUCUGGACCACAACUGACGCUGAGGCGCGAAAGCUAGGGGAGCAAACAGGAUUAGAUACCCUGGUAGUCCUAGCUGUAAACGAUGGAUACUUGCUGUGGGGGGUGUUAAAUCCCCC